This 428-nucleotide ribosomal RNA is filed under the name uncultured archaeon. RNAcentral describes it as "bacterial SSU rRNA". It matches the Rfam family "Archaeal small subunit ribosomal RNA", at positions 474 to 903 of the family's 1478-position model. The record is from RNAcentral.
UACCAGCUCUCCGAGUGGUGUGGAUGUUUAUUGGGCCUAAAGCAUCCGUAGCUGGCUGGACAAGUCCCCUGUUAAAUCCACCGAUUUAAUCGUUGGAGUGCGGGGGAUACUGUUCGGCUAGGGGACGGGAGAGGCAGACGGUAUUUCCGGGGUAGGGGUGAAAUCCUAUAAUCCCGGGAAGACCACCAGUGGCGAAGGCUGUCUGCUAGAACGCGCCCGACGGUGAGGGAUGAAAGCUGGGGGAGCGAACCGGAUUAGAUACCCGGGUAGUCCCAGCUGUAAACGAUGCAGGCUAGGUGUUUGGACGGCCACGUGCCGUUCUAGUGCCGCAGGGAAGCCGUUAAGCCUGCCGCCUGGGGAGUACGGCCGCAAGGCUGAAACUUAAGGAAUUGGCGGGGGAGCACCACAAGGGGUGAAGCUUGCGGUUU